This 84-nucleotide microRNA precursor is filed under the name Bombyx mori (domestic silkworm). RNAcentral describes it as "mir-2807 microRNA precursor family". It matches the Rfam family "mir-2807 microRNA precursor family". The record is from Rfam by way of RNAcentral. Lineage: Eukaryota; Metazoa; Arthropoda; Insecta; Lepidoptera; Bombycidae.
UUAACUCAUAUUUGUAUGGAGUGGGCUCGUUUGCGUACGUUUGCCGCUAGGGGCGCUGUUCCAACUGCAUACAAAAUUGGCUUA